GGUCUUUUGUUUUUAUAAAAGAUCUAGCCUGCUCAAUGAAUUUUAAAUAGCUGCAGUAUUUUGACUGUACAAAGGUAGCAUAAUCAUUUGUUUUUUAAUUGGAAACUUGUAUGAAUGGUUGGAUAAAAAAAUUACUUUCUUUAUUUUAUAUCAAAAAUUUUAUUUUUUAGUUAAAAAGCUAAUAUGUUUUUAUAGGACGAGAAGACCCUAUAGAACUUUACUAUAAAUCUUUUAGUAAAAAAUUAUAAUCUUUUAUUAUGGGUUUUAUAGUUUCAUUGGGGCGAUGGAAAAAAUUUUAUAACUUUUUCUUUUUUUAACAUUUUUAAUGUUUAAAUGAUCUUUUUUAAAAAAAUAAGUCUAAGUUACCUUAGGGAUAACAGCGUUAUUCUCUUGGAGAGUUCAUAUUGAUAAGAGAGUUUGCGACCUCGAUGUUGGAUUAAAGUUAGUUUUAGGGGCAGAAAAUUAAAAUCUUGGUCUGUUCGACCAUUAAAUCUUUACA
Molecule: ribosomal RNA, 499 nt
Filed under: Polymerus castilleja
Lineage: Eukaryota; Metazoa; Arthropoda; Insecta; Hemiptera; Miridae
Description: partial 16S ribosomal RNA
Rfam family: Bacterial large subunit ribosomal RNA
Source: RNAcentral